Molecule: ribosomal RNA, 459 nt
Filed under: uncultured bacterium
Lineage: Bacteria
Description: partial 16S ribosomal RNA
Rfam family: Bacterial small subunit ribosomal RNA
Source: RNAcentral
CCUACGGGUGGCAGCAGUGAGGAAUAUUGGUCAAUGGCCGGAAGCCUGAACCAGCCAAGUAGCGUGAAGGACGAAGGUGCCAAGCGUUGUAAACUUCUUUUGUCAAGGGACAAAAUCAGGCUCGAGAGCCUGACCGAGGGUACUUUAAGAAAAAGCAUCGGCUAACUCCGUGCCAGCAGCCGCGGUAAUACGGGGGAUCCGAGCUUUAUCCGGAUUUAUUGGGUUUAAAGGGUGCGUAGGGGGACUGUUAAGUCAGCGGUAAAAGCCCGGGGCUCAACCCCGGAGAGCCGUUGAAACUGGCUGCCUUGAGAAGUCGUGAGGUAUGCGGAAUGCGCAGUGUAGCGGUGAAAUGCUUAGAUAUUGCGAAGAACUCCGAUUGCGAAGGCAGCAUACCGGCGGCGAUCUGACGUUGAUGCACGAAAGCGUGGGUAUCGAACAGGAUUAGAUACCCGGGUAGUC